Molecule: ribosomal RNA, 433 nt
Filed under: uncultured bacterium
Lineage: Bacteria
Description: bacterial SSU rRNA
Rfam family: Bacterial small subunit ribosomal RNA
Source: RNAcentral
AACGAACGCUGGCGGCAGGCCUAACACAUGCAAGUCGAGCGAGGUGGCAAUACCUAGCGGCGGACGGGUGAGUAACGCGUGGGAACGUACCCUUUGCUACGGAAUAGCCCCGGGAAACUGGGAGUAAUACCGUAUGUGCCCUUCGGGGGAAAGAUUUAUCGGCAAAGGAUCGGCCCGCGUUGGAUUAGGUAGUUGGUGGGGUAAUGGCCUACCAAGCCGACGAUCCAUAGCUGGUUUGAGAGGAUGAUCAGCCACACUGGGACUGAGACACGGCCCAGACUCCUACGGGAGGCAGCAGUGGGGAAUCUUAGACAAUGGGCGCAAGCCUGAUCUAGCCAUGCCGCGUGAGUGAUGAAGGCCUUAGGGUUGUAAAGCUCUUUCAGAUGGGAAGAUAAUGACGGUACCAUCAGAAGAAGCCCCGGCUAACUCCGUG